RNAcentral lists this long non-coding RNA (338 nucleotides) under Rattus norvegicus (Norway rat). Its description in RNAcentral is "long non-coding RNA NONRATT033024". Lineage: Eukaryota; Metazoa; Chordata; Mammalia; Rodentia; Muridae. The record is from RNAcentral.
AUCUGAAUCACUGUAAGCUAGAGAGCUUGUGACAAAACCCUGGUAGUCGACCUUCACUCCAGGGUUUUGCAUUUUAUUGGUCUGAGGUGUGACCUGAGCGAAUGGCACUGCAGCCAGGCCAGAGAACCAACAGAUGUGAGGAGCACCGUGGUCAUAAGAAAGCCGGCAAAGACUCCACUCCAAGCACAGUAACAGGGGUGACAUCGUGGAAUUGGACCGCGGCCUACAGAGGGGCAAGGGGGUCCCCCAAGUAUUUUAAAGAGAACGGGCCAAAAUGGAGCCACACCAUUAAAAGGAAUUAACAAACCUGAAAUGUUUCAGGUUAUUCGAUAUUUAUA